AGAGGUCUGGGAGAUGUUUGCCUUUGAGAAAUGCAGGAAGCAGCCAGCAAGCAAGGUGCUGAAGCCCAAAAAUGAAAUCGGCUUCAAGGUCAUCAAAGGCUCUUAGGAAGGAUAAGGAGACAUCUGGAUGGGACAGUUCAGGUGUAGAAGCCACCCUCCAAAGCCGAGAAGAGAUCCCUGCCUGUCUUAUUUCGGCAGUUUGUUUCACACCUCUCCAUGCAGUGAGGUUCAGCAUGGUGGAUGCGAUGAGGAAAAUAGCCUUGUCGAAGGCACCUGUGUCACUGGACAUGUACAGGAGUUUGUAUAUGACAGACUACAGAUGGCACAAGGAGUACCAGCCGCCCACCGAGGAGUACUUGCAGGGAUGUUGCUGCACAAGCAGGAGCUGGAUCGGGGCUGGGCUGCCUACCAGCAAUUCAUCUUGGAGACAUGUCGGGCAAGGCAAUUUAAAGCUCAAGAAAACAAGAGCAUGGUCUUGGGCUCAUCUGUUUUGGGGGAAGGAACUACUGGGUAUCAGAGUACGAGGACAGCUACAGUGUUUUCUUACGGAGGCUGAACCGGUCAUCUCAAAUCCCCACUGCAGGGCUGUGUUCAGCCGUAAAGCCCAUCUCACAUCUACCCCACAGGCUGUCCUCUCAGAAAGCGAUUGCUGUGGACACAGCCCAGUGAGAGGUGCUACAGCUGUCCAUGGGGCGAACAAGUCAAGACCAAAGGCUGGUGGAAGCAUAUGAAAGAGAAAACAAAUAUACGGAGCCUGGUGAGUGAAAGCUGGAAGGAAGACUGUCAGAUGGAAUUCACCAAGUACUAGAAAUGUAUCAGAUGCAACAGCACAUAAGGUAUUAGAAAAGCACAAUCGGGGAGCACAGCAGGUGCCAUGUGUCAAAGGAACUUCAUUCUUGGAGCUGAUGAAUAACACUGCUUAUAGAGAAAUCAAGUGAAGCACACCAGUGUAACCUGAUGGAAAGCACAGCUGAGAGACAGCUGCAUCUGAUCUGUAGUACAGCUAGAAAAACAAUGGUUAGCAAGUGUCUUUGGUGGCUUCUGUUCAUAAUCACUGUCAACCAACAGAGUUAUUAGGAAGUUACUUUAGAGUAAAGAUCUCUGUUUAUGCAGCUUCACACCUGGCUGGAUCAAGGCAGACAGGAAAGCAAACCCUCCUUUCUUUUCUGCCUCCCAUGUAGCUUCUCCAAGGAUGGUGCUGAAUAAGGGGUAGUACCAUCCCGGCAGGCUCCCCCUCCCAAGAAAGGGAGAGGAAACAGGAAAAUAAAUUUGCCACUCUUACAGUCCCA
This 1289-nucleotide long non-coding RNA is filed under the name Struthio camelus australis. RNAcentral's name for it is "lncRNA (ENSSCUG00000015341.1)". The record is from RNAcentral. Lineage: Eukaryota; Metazoa; Chordata; Aves; Struthioniformes; Struthionidae.